Molecule: ribosomal RNA, 253 nt
Filed under: uncultured bacterium
Lineage: Bacteria
Description: partial 16S ribosomal RNA
Rfam family: Bacterial small subunit ribosomal RNA
Source: RNAcentral
UACGUAGGGUGCGAGCGUUGUCCGGAAUUAUUGGGCGUAAAGAGCUUGUAGGCGGUUUGUCGCGUCUGCUGUGAAAAUCCGGGGCUCAACCCCGGACUUGCAGUGGGUACGGGCAGACUAGAGUGUGGUAGGGGAGACUGGAAUUCCUGGUGUAGCGGUGAAAUGCGCAGAUAUCAGGAGGAACACCGGUGGCGAAGGCGGGUCUCUGGGCCGUAACUGACGCUGAGGAGCGAAAGCGUGGGGAGCAAACAGG